AUCUAUACUAUUAAACGAGAAGACCUCAUUUUGGGUGUCGCUUCUCUUCUUUCCACAAUAAAUUAAUCAACACGCCUCUGUGUCCUAUAGGUACAGUGCAUAGUCGCAUUUGUCAUCCAUUUAUAUGAUUAUUCAGAUUCAGUUAUUUUAAGAGAAAAACGAGAAAAAAGGCAUCCGGAUAUUGUCCCGUCAUUGGACGAAACUUUAAGUCGGAUUAGACUUCCGGUUUGCGUUUUUCUGUAUACUUUGAACAUACAUAUAUUACGAAUAAAGUGUAUUUUCAGAAUUUUAUCUGCUAUCAUUUUUAAGUUAACUAUCCACGGCGGUCACAGAGUUUAUUAAAUAGAGAGGGUCUGUAUACUAUAUCAAUGACCACCAUGGAUCGAUUAGUAAACUUAGAAUUGAAAGUAAAUAGACUUUAUUUAUAUAGUAAUGAAUGUUCAUAAUAUACAGAUAAGCGCUAAAAUUAUUCAUGUGAACUUUUGAUACCUUUUCUGAAAUUCUCCAGUCAUUAAAUCUUUUACAAAAUUCAUUGAUGACAAAAAUAAAGAAGAUGUGGUAUGAUUGCCAUGUUGCGACAACUCUCCACAAGAGACCAAAAUGACACAGAAAUUAACAACUAUAGGUCACCGUACGGCCUUCAACAAAAUGCAAAGCCCAUAUCGCAUACUCAGCUUCAAAAGGCCCCGAAAUGACAAUGUAAAACAAUGCAAACAAGAAAACCAGCGGCCUUAUUUAUGUACAAAAAAUGAACGAAACACAAAUAUGUAACACAUAAACAAACGAC
RNAcentral lists this long non-coding RNA (787 nucleotides) under Mytilus galloprovincialis (Mediterranean mussel). The record is from RNAcentral. Lineage: Eukaryota; Metazoa; Mollusca; Bivalvia; Mytilida; Mytilidae.